AACGAACGCUGGCGGCAUGCCUAACACAUGCAAGUCGAACGAGACCACCGGGAGUAGUGGCGCACGGGUGUGUCACGCGGGGGAAGCUGCCCUUAGGCUCGGGAUAACACCCCGACAGGGGUGCUAACACCGGAAAAUGUCCUCGGAUAACAGAUUUAUCGCAUUUGGAUGGGCCCGCGUUGGCUUAACCGGUUGGGAGGGUAAAAGCCGACCAAGGCGUCGAUCCAUAGCUGGGCUGAGAGAAAGGUCCGCCACACUGGGAGUAGGCCACGGCCCGGACUCCUACGGAAUGCAGCAGUGCGUAAUAUUGCACUAUCGGCUGAGUCCUGAUCCAGCAAGGCCUCGUGAGUGAUGAUGGCCUUAGGGUUGUAAAGCUCCUUUACCCGGGAUUAUACUGACGGUACCGAAAGAAUAAGCACCGGCUAACUCCGUG
RNAcentral lists this ribosomal RNA (433 nucleotides) under uncultured bacterium. RNAcentral's name for it is "partial 16S ribosomal RNA". It matches the Rfam family "Bacterial small subunit ribosomal RNA", at positions 29 to 507 of the family's 1533-position model. The record is from RNAcentral.